CGUAGGUAACCUGCCCCGGAGCGGGGGAGUAACAUUUGGAAACAGAUGCUAAUACCGCAUAACAAUAAAAGACCGCAUGGCUUUUAUUUGAAAGAUGGCUUUGGCUAUCACUCUGGGAUGGACCUGCGGUGCAUUAGCUAGUUGGUAAGGUAACGGCUUACCAAGGCGAUGAUGCAUAGCCGAGUUGAGAGACUGAUCGGCCACAAUGGAACUGAGACACGGUCCAUACUCCUACGGGAGGCAGCAG
RNAcentral lists this ribosomal RNA (247 nucleotides) under uncultured bacterium. RNAcentral's name for it is "partial 16S ribosomal RNA". It matches the Rfam family "Bacterial small subunit ribosomal RNA", at positions 116 to 354 of the family's 1533-position model. The record is from RNAcentral.